UGGGGAAUUUUGGACAAUGGGCGCAAGCCUGAUCCAGCAAUGCCGCGUGCAGGAUGAAGGCCUUCGGGUUGUAAACUGCUUUUGUACGGAACGAAACGGUUCUCUCUAAUACAGGGGGCUAAUGACGGUACCGUAAGAAUAAGCACCGGCUAACUACGUGCCAGCAGCCGCGGUAAUACGUAGGGUGCGAGCGUUAAUCGGAAUUACUGGGCGUAAAGCGUGCGCAGGCGGUGAUGUAAGACAGAUGUGAAAUCCCCGGGCUCAACCUGGGACCUGCAUUUGUGACUGCAUCGCUGGAGUGCGGCAGAGGGGGAUGGAAUUCCGCGUGUAGCAGUGAAAUGCGUAGAUAUGCGGAGGAGCACCGAUGGCGAAGGCAAUCCCCUGGGCCUGCACUGACGCUCAUGCACGAAAGCGUGGGGAGCAAACA
RNAcentral lists this ribosomal RNA (427 nucleotides) under uncultured Comamonadaceae bacterium. RNAcentral describes it as "bacterial SSU rRNA". It matches the Rfam family "Bacterial small subunit ribosomal RNA", at positions 355 to 774 of the family's 1533-position model. Lineage: Bacteria; Pseudomonadati; Pseudomonadota; Betaproteobacteria; Burkholderiales; Comamonadaceae. The record is from RNAcentral.